UUGGGGAGUAGCCUGCUUCCGGUAUCGGAAGCGCCCGCGUCAACACACUCGGCCAUUGCGCCGUGGCGCGGGCAGCCAGACCCGGUUGGCGAGACCAGCGGCAUGCGCGCGCAACGACAGGUUGGGCGUGUGCGCAUGUCGUAUGCGUCGUCCGCCCGGCCU
This 162-nucleotide small RNA is filed under the name Stenotrophomonas daejeonensis. Its description in RNAcentral is "Manganese sequence". It matches the Rfam family "Manganese Mn2+ riboswitch aptamer (yybP-ykoY)". From Rfam's summary of the family: This RNA was originally discovered in E. coli during a large scale screen and was named SraF. The record is from RNAcentral. Lineage: Bacteria; Pseudomonadati; Pseudomonadota; Gammaproteobacteria; Lysobacterales; Lysobacteraceae.